GGCAUGAUCACAUCAAGAACGCGGCAUGAUCACACCAAGACCACAGCCAUGAUCACACCAAGACCACAGCAUGAUCAUACCAAGACUACGGCCAUAUUCACACCAAGGCCAUGCCAAGACCAUGGCCAAGAACACACCAAGACUAUGUCAAGACCAUGGCAAGACCAUGGCCAUGAUCACACCAAGAACACGGCAUGAUCACACCAAGACCACAGCCAUGAUCACACCAAGACCUCGGCCAUGAUCACAACAAGGCCACAGCCAUGAUCACACCAAGGCCAUGCCAAGACUAUGGCCAAGACCACGGCAUGAUCACACCAAGACCACGGCAUGAUCACACCAAGACCACAGCCAUGAUCACACCAAGACCACAGCAUGAUCAUACCAAGACUACGGCCAUAUUCACACCAAGGCCAUGCCAAGACCAUGGCCAAGAACACACCAAGACUAUGUCAAGACCAUGGCAAGACCAUGGCCAUGAUCACACCAAGAACACAGCAUGAUCACACCAAGACCACGGCAUGAUCACACCAAGACCACAGCCACGAUCACACCAAGAACAUGGCAUGAUCACACCAAGAACACGGAUAUGAUCACACCAAGACCACAGCCAUGAUCACAACAAGGCCAUGCCAAGACCAUGGCCAUGACCACACCAAGACCACGCCAACACUGUGGCCAUGACCACAGCAAGACCAUGGCCAAGACCACGGCCAAGACCACACCAAGACCAUGGCCAAGACCACAACAAGACCACAACAAGACCACAACAAGACCACACCAAGACCAUGGCCAAGACCACACCAACACCACACUAAGACCACACCAAGGCCAUGGCCAAGACCAUGGCCAAGCACACCAAGACCACCCCAAGACCAUGCCAAGACCAUGGCCAAGACCACAGCCAUCACCAUGCCAAGACCACGGCCAUGACCACACCAAGACCACAGCCAAGAUCAUGGCCAAGACAUCAACCACGACCACGCCAAUACCACAGCCAAAACUGAGCCAACGUGCGGCCGUGACCCUUCCCAGACCUCACCAUGCCCACGGCCAUGGCCAACCCAACACCACAACCACCGCAACCACGGAAAGACCACGGCCAAACCCAACCCAACACCACACUCAGGUCCACGACCGUGACCACACGAAGACCACAACAAAGAUGGCUCCCGUGGCCCCCCCCCAAGCCCCCAUCCCCGCGUGCACUCACGUCGCACUCGUUGCAGUAGUACGCUGGCUCGUCCUUCACGCGGCCCUGGUAGGCGAUCUUCUUGCCGGCGCGCACCAGGCUCUCGCGCUGCACCUGGCAGUGCUUGAUGGACUGCAUCAGGCAGUACCUGCAACGGCACCACCGCCGUGUCCCCCCGUCCUGCCGUCCCCCCGUCCUGCCGUCCCCCCGUCCUGC
Molecule: long non-coding RNA, 1408 nt
Filed under: Numida meleagris (helmeted guineafowl)
Lineage: Eukaryota; Metazoa; Chordata; Aves; Galliformes; Numididae
Description: lncRNA (ENSNMEG00000002464.1)
Source: RNAcentral